This 486-nucleotide non-coding RNA is filed under the name Pan troglodytes (chimpanzee). The record is from RNAcentral. Lineage: Eukaryota; Metazoa; Chordata; Mammalia; Primates; Hominidae.
GCGGCCCGUAGUCCUUCUGCGAGGGCGCGAGGACCCCAGGAGCAGUCCUGGUUCGGGCAUUUUUGAAGAAACUGAGUUCCCGGCGUUCGCAGCCUGGGAGUCACAGGCGCCCACCCACCGAUAUGCAAUUUCACUUACAGGAUCUUGUUCUUCAGUGACAUGUCAUAAGAGUUAAUAAUUCCACAAGCCACCCUGCACUGCUGUGAUCCUAACAAUAUUGAAAGAGUCUUGCUCUGUCACCCAGGCUGGAGUGAGGAAGCCCUAAUAUAUAAUCUUCAUCAACUGUUAAUCUGGAAGCCUCACCACAUUGCUUUUUGGAUUAGCAGAAUGCCAUCCUGGGGAAUCCCAGCAGAAAGGAAGAAAGGAGUACUGUCAGUCUUACUGGUCACCCCUGGCCAAGGCCCAGUCAUGACCCUUCCUUCCAUCUCCAUUUGAUCCCAUCAUAAACCUCAAGAAAAGUAAAAAGCAUCAUCAUCUUAGGAAAAA